This is a long non-coding RNA of Esox lucius (northern pike), 3837 nucleotides long. Lineage: Eukaryota; Metazoa; Chordata; Actinopteri; Esociformes; Esocidae. The record is from Ensembl.
GUAGAAGUUUUUGUAUAAAAGCCACGGUCCUGAGCUCAGUAGUUUGGGUGUGUAUCUGCAGAAGGACCUGGCUUUAAUGUCUGUCAUUCUUGUAUGAUCUUCAUUAAAGUCUAUUGGAUUCACAAGUUCCUGAGAUGAAGUGUUUUUGUUUUAGUCGUUGUGGACUUGAGUUUUCCACGACACAACCAAGGAUACCAGGCCACAACCCUACCUUAUCUACGGCCCUGUUCCGUUUGGCGGCAAGGUAAAGUUGCCUGUGUCUUCUCUGUAUUCUUCCUUUUGUGAAGGACACUGGGGGUAGCUCAGAUCAGGAGGUCUGGUAACUAUGACCUGGAACUAUGGUUGCCAUGGCAGUAUAGGGUUCUAUCUUGUUUUCCUAUUAGAAUGACUAGAGAUAAUAUUGGGGUGUGCAUUAGAGAUAAUAUUUUGGGGGCUGAUAAGGAGGAGUAUAAAGAGAUGAAAGCAAUAAUAUGUAAUCAGAACAAUUGUUAUGACACUACUCUGUUGGUCUCUGUAAUUGCAGUCUGUUGUGUGAAAGCGAUUGUUCCCGUGGAUCCAUGUAAUUAAACUUAAAAUAAUCAACUGUUAUACCAGACUCUGAGAAGUUUUUACUUGUAUAAAUCACGCACAUUUUCCAAAAAUAACUCAUUCCAGCCUGGCAGUUCUGAGGGCUCAUGUCCUCCCACGUUAGAGAGCACAUUUCUUGGAUUCACAAGGGUGGCUCACUCUACUCCGCUGGCACAAUUAUAUAGCAGUGUAUAACCUUGGGUCUCAGACAGUGGGGUCCAAACACACUGUGGCCCUAUCCAAAAGGCAAAUGAUGACUGUGCCUCCAAUAAAAGAGGAAGGGGUUCUGUGAUUGCAAUUCCAUCGAUUUGAACUCUUUAGGAAGUAGGUAAAGAGACAAAUUAUUUUGGCACAAUUAGCAGUUUAUUUGCAUGUAGAGAGAUAAACACAGAUACAAGGUCAGUGGGAUCUCUGAGGUGACGAGAGAAUCAUCAAUAAUUUUACAAUUAAGGGGUGAUGGUAAGAAUCUGCAUAUUCAUCUGAUAAAGACAACCUUAUGUUCCUUAUCCCAUUUCUGUAACAGCUACCAAUCGAUUUCCAAGGAAUUCCUUGUGCAUUAUUUCCACUGUUUGGCAAUUUACAUAGGACAGGUCAUCCCACAGAACCAAGGACACAAGCUGAGUGUAAGUGGCUGACAGAAGUCUCCAAAAAAAUUCAGGGUAACAGGUAAAAAAUUAAAUGCAUUAUGGGAAAAUGCAUUGGAUCCUAUGUAAAACUGUAGGCAUGAGCAAGAGUGAUGUCAUAAAUGUUUGUGGGAUUGUAUAUGCAUGUAUCUAUUUAGAGUCUAAGGUUUGUCAAUGUUUGUUGAAAUUUAUAUUUUGGAUGUAAGUGUAAUGUUAAGUUGAUGUCCUUUGUCUUUACAAUCCUAAUCAAAUAAAGUAAACUGUCAUAAAUUUGACCUACAAGGGAGUUCAGGAUGGAAGAUGUCUUUCAAAAUUUUUAUAUAAAGACACUAAUGUUGUUUUCCAGACAACACCUGUGUAAAGGCCAGAACUAAUACAACUAUGAGCUCUGGACAGACAAGUCAGUGGUGGAGUUAUUUGGUUGUAUUUCCAGACACCAUGUUUGUCAAUAUCCCUAACAACAAACCCCAUCCCUUGUUCUAACCAAAACUUUAUUCCCAUUUUCCACAACUUCUAACCUUAAGUCCAAAAAGCCUAAUCCUAGUUCCUCACCUUAACCUCAAUUGUAACGUAUACCCCCAACAUAGAUAAUGUACUUUUUCUUCAUGGGAACCAGUGAAGGUCACAUUUUCCAUGUUGCAUUUUAUGGUUGAUAGUCAGACAAUGUUGCAACCCAUUUACAUUAGCCGAAGUGAAGAUGCCCAAGUUACUUUUUAUCACGUUCACCAAACUAAAGCUGGAAUGGCAUUUCCUGGAAAUACAAUGCUAAUAGAAAAAAAUAUGGGAUUGGUUUUCUACAGGAUCUUUUGAGAUGGCUAGCCAAUUGGAGAUUGUUUUCAGGGGUGGAGCUUGUAUGUGUGGCUGAAAUGUAUCGGUACUUAUCCGAGUGCAUCCCGGUAUCUCAUCUAUGAACGAUAAUGCUAAAGACUUCACCAUGAUAACCCCAUUAUUUAUGUUUGUUUGGUUGUCUCGAACCAGUUACAUUGAACCUGUGCAGGUUAUUCCUCCUGGAAUACCAGUCUCUGUCUAUGCUAAGAUGUUCUAUAACAUCUCACAACCAAGUGACGUCUGUGGCCAACUGGAAUAUGAUGUUCUGCAGUUCACCUGUUGUGAUGGAAAACUACACAAUGGGCCGAGGCUGUCCUGCUGCGGAAGCAAUGCCUUCAGCAUCACCCAGGCUUCUUGUUGUCAAGGUCAGCUGACUGUUAAUGUGAGCCAGCUUGUGUCAGAUUGCUGCGGGUACAAAGCCUACGACCCACUCAACUAUCUGUGCUGUAACACACGGAUACUUAAAAGGAACAAACCCUAUUCCAAGUGUUGUGGAAAAGAGGUUUUUGACAGUCACCAGCUUUGCUGUGGAGUGGAAAAGAUAGUCCUGACCAAAAUCUCCAGUAACCACAAGUGUUGUGGAAACCAACAGUAUGACAACAAAAGACAAUGCUGCAAUUAUACUGUAGUAACCACAAGGAAUCUGGAUGGACAAUGCCAUGUAUCAAAUGACACAAUGAUAACAAAACCGGCCCUGACAAAUAGACCUAACAACUGGUAAUGUUGUGUUUAGCCAUAUUGAACUGCACCAUUUCAUUAUAUGUGUAUAUGUAUAUAUGUAUGUUUAUAUCCAUUGGCUCAAGCUUAAGAAAAGUUACUAUUGAUGACCCUCUCAAAUAAUGUAGGGAACACUUAAAUCACACAUCGGGUCAAAAUAUAUUCAAGAUCAAAGUCUUUACUGUACAUUGAGUAAUACGGUGAGAACAAAAUGACAUAACAACGGUCAAUAGAAAGCAAAAUCACCAACCGAUUGAGGGCUGGAUUAAAAAAAAUAAUAAUCAAAGUAAUUCAUUGAAAUCACAGACUGUUCCAACUUUCAUCACUGCAACACACAAUGUGUUUCAGUAGUGUGUAUGGCCCCCACGUGCCUUUAUGCACUCCUGAUAACGUCUGGGCAUGCUCCUGAUGAGAUGGCAGGUGGUGUCCUGGGGGAUCUCCUCCCAGACCUGGAUCAGGGCAUCAGUGACCUCCUGGACAGUCUGUGGUGCUACUUGGCGUCAUUGGAUGCACUGAUACAAAACGUCCCAGUGGUUCUCAGUUGGAUUCAGUUCUGGGGAAUGUGAGGGCCAGUCAAUGGAAUCAAUGCCUUCGUCAUCCAGGAACUGCCUACACAUUCUAGGCCACAUUCUUGCACAAAGGAGCAGAUACCGGUCCUGCUGCUGGGUUGAUGCCCUUCUAUGGCCCUGUCCAGCACUCCUCGUGUAAAGGCCUGUCUCCUCGUACCCACUCCAUACUCUUGAGACUGUACUAGGAGACACAGCAAACCUUCUUGCAACAGCAUGUAUGGAGCUGGAUGACCUGUACAACCUGAAUGGGCAGCAGGUACCGCCUCAUGCUACCAAUAGUUACAGGGAUCAGUCAGGAAGGAUAAGGAGAGCAAUUGUCUGUGGCCUCCACCUGCAAAACCAUUUCCUUUUUGGGGGUUGUCUUGCUGUUACCUCACCAGUGCACCUGUUGUCACUUUCAUUUGCACUAAAACAGGUGACAUUGUUUCAUAAUCACUUAUGCUUCCUAACUGGACAGACAGAUAACCCUGAUGUUUAAUUGACUUGGUGUUACACUGUGAUGAUUACGUGUUCCCUUAAUAUUUUGAGCAGCG